Maniola jurtina (meadow brown) is the source of this 65-nucleotide long non-coding RNA. RefSeq lists it as uncharacterized. The transcript has 3 exons. NCBI's taxonomy places the organism in Eukaryota, Metazoa, Arthropoda, Insecta, Lepidoptera, Nymphalidae. The record is from RefSeq and is a predicted model, not a curated record.
CCGCAUUUGUCACUUAAGUUCUAAAACCACGUAAGUCAAAAUUAGCAACUUUACUUAAUGGAUAC